Molecule: small nuclear RNA, 125 nt
Organism: Laticauda laticaudata (blue-ringed sea krait)
Lineage: Eukaryota; Metazoa; Chordata; Lepidosauria; Squamata; Elapidae
Gene: U2
Rfam family: U2 spliceosomal RNA
About the family: U2 is a small nuclear RNA (snRNA) component of the spliceosome (involved in pre-mRNA splicing). Complementary binding between U2 snRNA (in an area lying towards the 5' end but 3' to hairpin I) and the branchpoint sequence (BPS) of the intron results the bulging out of an unpaired adenosine, on the BPS, which initiates a nucleophilic attack at the intronic 5' splice site, thus starting the first of two transesterification reactions that mediate splicing.
Source: Ensembl
GUAGCUUCUUGGCCUUUUGGCUAAGAUCAAGUGUAGUAUCUGUUCUUAUCAGUGACAUUGAAACCAUGCCAAAGUUUGUGUCAAGGAGUAUUGAACGCAUUAUUUUAUAUUAUAUGGGACUCCUA